UUACCCAUGUCCUUGCUGUUGCCAGCUUCCAGACUGCCAGAGACGCAGCUACGGCAGAGGCACCUGCCUCACACGGAGGGUCUCCCUCGUCUGCUUCCUGCUCGGGGCAGAAGCAGGAGCUCACCUUGCCUCCAGGUGCCGCUGUGGGUCGGCUCCGGGUCUGGAACGAGUCGCUAAGCUUGCCCAUGGGAGCCUGACUCUCAGCUGCACAGGCCACUGAACUGGUACAUUUUUUCCAGCCCAGAGAUUUCCCCAAACUGCCCUGGGCGAGCGGCUGCUGUUCCAUCAGUGACUUGGUGGGGGCUGCGGGGGAGGUCAGCUGCAAGCCCCAGAUCUCCCUGAAUGAGGGGGACACGCUGUCCACGCUGAUGUGUGUGCUGUGCCUGUGCGGGGGGAGGGGCAGUGUGGUCAGGGACAGACGUGGACAUUCGUGCUUGGGGAGAGGCUGUGGCCUUUGUCAGACUCCCUCUGACCUUCAGGGCCCGUGGGAUCAGGCAGGGACCCACACGGCGUUUCUGCCUUGGGGGUGGCCAACGGCAAACGUGAAAUGCCGUCACGCUGUGGUUUGGGCCUGAGUCAGAGUGCUGGGUUCAAGCCCUGGCCCCACCCCCAGUGCCUGGGAGCCCGUGGGAGAGUUUAACCCCCGAGCCUCAGUCUCCUUGUCUGUACUGUAGGGACGGGGGUGCAGACGGCGCCAGCUUCCCAGCUAUGACUUACAGGGCCUGAAUGAGCCAGUCCACUGUGGGGCUCAGUGUGGCAUCUAGCGCCCGUUAAACGUGCCAUAAAUACCAUGUUGCCAUCCGCACAUCUGCUAGAACCGGAGGUGAGCGCAGCGUGGUGGCGAGGAGUGGCCCAGAGUCUCUGGACUGGUGUGGCACGCGUCCCGGAAGGUCUCGCUCCCUGUACGGUGUUUUUUAAUGCAGUUCUGCCCGAGUUCAAGGCCAGGUGCUUUCUACCAUGGCUUUCGGCAGUUGGCAGGAGGGCUGGUGGUUAAAUUCACAGGCUUGGAAGCCGGGCUGCUGGCUUGAGGGCGGUUGUUUGAUGCGAGAGCUCAGGGUCUCCGUUUUCCCCCUUGUGAAGCAGGCACGCUGUGGCCCACCUCUUCGGGCUGUGGUGCAGGCUGCCGCAGAGUAUGUGGGUGACCACCGCCCAGGGCCUGGAGCAGGGCUUGGGGAGCCCCCAGUAAGAGCCAUCAGCAGCAGCAUCUCACCACACGCCUCCCCCACUCGUCCUGGUCCCUCCCGUCAUCCUGAAUAGCUUGAGAUAUGAGUACAGUUAAAGCUCUUCCAGCCAAACCCGUGCCCGGUGGCAUCGAUGUCUUAUUUCAGACAAGACCCCGGGGUGACGGGUUCUGGUCUGGUUUUUCACGCGGGGCUCAGCUUGGAGCACCCCUCUGAAGGUAAGCCAGGUCACAGAUCCCAUGGGACAGAGCCGGCUGGGGCUCCCGUGAGGACCUGUGCGACGCUCUGUGUCUGCCGGCCAGUCACUGGACCUCACUGUCCUGAUCUUCUCGUUGCAGGCUGCCAACAGCUACCUGCGAGACCAGUGGUUCCAUUCUCUGCAGUGGAAGGUAAGUCCUGACUCGCUUGCUUGCUGGAGGCAGCUGCCUUCGUCUCAGCAGCUGAGUGUGGGCUCACAGCAGGUCUGCCCCCGGAGGCUUGAGGGUGGAGGUCUCUCGCCUUCCUGGCAGCUCAGCCGAGGAGCUUGGCUCACUGUAUGGAAGCCCCCGCCUCCCUCUUUGACAGUUGAUACCUUUCCCCUCUCGAGGCGGAAACUGCCUUCCUCCCCUUGGCCCUCGGCUUUGCUCGGGAGCCUCACAGCGUGUGCCUGCUUCCGAAAGGCUCAAAGAACCACUUGCUCUCAGGGCAGGGGCUCUCCUGAGAGGCUCGGGGAGGCAGGACCUCAGGGGCUCAAGAUGAUGGCUUGAAAGUAACUUCCGGGAGUUCCCCGGUAGCGCAGCAGAUUAAAGAUCUGGCAUUGUCUCCACUGUGGCUCGGGUUACUGCUGUGGUUCAGUCUCUGGCCUGGUAACAUCAUACCACUGGAGAGACCAAAAUAAUAAUAACAGUAAUUUUUUUAAAAGUUCACUGAACAAAAAGUUCUUGUGUUUAAAAGAAAACGAGAAACGUGAAGUUCCCAUUGUGGCUCAGCGGGUUAAGACCCUGACACGGAUUGUCUCUCUAGGGUUGUGGGCUCCAUCCCUGGCCCCGCUCAGUGCGUUGCUGCAAGCUGUGGCCUAGGUCACCGAUGCGGCUCGGAUCUGGUGUGGCUGUGGCCGUGGCAGAGACCUGCAGCUGCAGCUCCGAUUUGACCCCUAGCCCACAGACUUCCACAUGCCACAGGUGUGGCCGUAAAAAGAAAAAAAAAACAAACAGGAAAACAAAAAGCAAAAAAAAAGUGAUUUCUGAAGGUGGCACCAGAGAUAGAUUCAUCAGAGAUGCAGAAGCCCAGCUGUAUUUCCAUAGGCUUCGCUUCCUUUCCAUUAUCUGAUUCUUUGGCCUGAUUUUCCAGUUCUGGCUCUGCUUAGGGUGGUCCAGGGCCUUCUAGCACAGAAGGUGAAUUAGUCCCCUCCUGGUCACGUUCAAGACCCAGCGGCGGGAUCUACGAGAAGGGUCCUGCCAGCCUCCUGGGGAGUCCACGUUCUGCUCCCUGGCGCAGGACCCUGGCACCCUGCCUCCCCAUCUCCCCGCCCUCUGAUCUUUUAGUUGAGAACAAGCCAUGACAGGCCUGCGGGCUUGCAGAGCCAGCAGGGCGAGGCUAGAAUGACCUGCGUGGCCUGAGCCGUCAUCUUUUGGUAAGCCGUCGGGCGGUGGGGGACGAGAGGCUGGCCCUGUGCAGGGCUUGCGGCAUGUGCCAUGUUGGGACAAGCACGGGACACGCGGCAUGCCUCUCGUGCCUCUGGAGGGGCUCCCGUCACAGCUGGGCGGAGGGCGGAAAUCCAGCCCCGGAAAAUUGCAUUCCUGGUCCAAAGAGGGCCGCCCCUGGCCCUUCCCCGACAGCUGCAGGUCCUCUCUCUCGUUUGUGCCCGCAUGGCCGUCUCAGAGGCCAAGUGGGAGUCUCCAAGUUGGGGCUGCGAAGGGAAAGGACCGGCAUUUCCUGAGCACCCUCUGUGUGCCUGGGGCCUGAGACCAGCCUGUCUGUUUCACCCUUGUAAGCCUGGUUGUCCUCAUUGCUCCCGUUUUCUCUCUAGGGAAGGGGAGGCCAGACUGGACCCCUACCUCCCCAGCCAGUAAGGGCCUGGGGCAGCGUGCAGACCCUGGCCUUUCCCGUCCCUGUGGGUUCCUAAGCGCACUCGGAGGACACCGGGUGUCAGCCCGGCAGGCAAGCGGCGCCGGCCUGCUCAAGGAAUUGGCAGGGGCUGCUGGAGCUUGAUUUCUGCAGGGACGUCGUCCCUGAGGCCUGGCUCUCUGUGGCCCGAUGAGUCCCAGGACAGGCAGGACCCAUAGGGCCGCCUGGGAGAGCACUGGAGAGGAAGAGGGGAGGAAUAUGGGGUGCUGUGUGGUGCU
Molecule: long non-coding RNA, 3505 nt
Filed under: Sus scrofa (pig)
Lineage: Eukaryota; Metazoa; Chordata; Mammalia; Artiodactyla; Suidae
Description: lncRNA (ENSSSCG00040001317.1)
Source: RNAcentral